GAUGAACGCUAGUGAAAUGCUUUACACAUGCAAGUUAAACUAAAUUUUUAUUGAAAAAUUAAGUAGCGAACGGGUGAGUAACACGUAAGAACUUACUUUUAGGAAAGAAAUAACAAAGGGAAGCUUUUGCUAAUAACUUAUUUAUUAAAAUAUUUUUAUUAUUUUUUAUAAAAGAAGACUUAAUAACUUCACCUAAAAAAAGGCUUGCGUCUAAUUAGCUUGUUGGUAGAGUAAUACCCUAUCAAGGCGAUGAUUAGUAUCUGGUUUGGGAGAAUGGUCAGACACACUGAAACUGAGACACGGUUCAGACUUCUACGGGAGGCAGCAGUGAGGAAUCUUCCGCAAUGGGCAUAAGCCUGACGGAGUAAUUUCGCGUGAAGGAUGACGGUUUAUGGAUUGUAAACUUCUUUUUUCAAGGAGGAAUUUUGACGUGUAAUUGAAGAAUAAGCAUCGGCUAAUUCCGUGCCAGCAGCCGCGGUAAUACGGGAGAUGUAAGUGUUAUCCGAAUUUAUUGGGCGUAAAGCGUUUGUAGGUUGUUUAAUAAGUCAAUUGUUAAACCUUGAAGCUUAACUUCAAAAAUGCAAUCGAAACUAUUAGACUAAGAGUUUGGUAAGGGUAAAAGGAAUUUUUAGAGAAGCGGUGAAAUGUGUAGAUAUUAAGAAGAAGAUCAGUGGCGAAGGCAUUUUACUAGGCUUUAGUACUGACAUUUAGAAACGAAAGCUAUGGUAGCAAAUGGGAUUAGAUACCCCAGUAGUCUUAGCUGUAAACGAUGGAUACUAUUCGCUGGGUAAUUUAUAUUAUACAGUAUUGAAGCUAACGCAUUAAGUGUCCCGCCUGGGAAGUAUGCUUGCAAGAGUAAAACUCAAAGGAAUUGACGGGGGCCCGCGCAAGCGGUGGAGCAUGUGGUUUAAUUCGAUGCAACGCGAUGAACCUUACCAGAGUUUGACAUAAUAUGAAUUUUUUUGAAAAAAAAAAGUGCCAAUUGGAACAUAUAUACAGGUGGUGCAUGGCUGUCGUCAGUUCGUGUCGUGAGAUGUCGGGUUAAGUCCUGUAACGAGCGUAACCCUUAUUUUUAGUUGCCAUUUGGAAAUCUAAAAAAACUGCUGAUUAUAAGUCUGAGGAAGGAGAGGAUGACGUCAAGUCAGCAUGCCCCUUAUAUUCUGGGCUACACACGUGCUACAAUGGAUAAGACAAUGAGAUGCAAUUUUGUGAGAAAAAGCUAAUCUAUAAACUUAUUCUAAGUUCGGAUUGUAGACUGCAACUCGUCUACAUAAAGUUGGAAUCGCUAGUAAUCGCUGGUCAGCUAUACAGCGGUGAAUUCGUUUUCGGGCCUUGUACACACCGCCCGUCACACCAUGGAAAUGUGUUUUAUUUAAAAUUAUUUUUUUUAAUUUUUUUAUAUUAUUUUAAUUUUAUAAAAAAUACUUAGAAUGAAAUUUGUAACUGGGGUGAAGUCGUAACAAGGUAACUGUAC
RNAcentral lists this ribosomal RNA (1474 nucleotides) under Nitzschia sp. D2. RNAcentral describes it as "partial 16S rRNA". It matches the Rfam family "Bacterial small subunit ribosomal RNA". Lineage: Eukaryota; Bacillariophyta; Bacillariophyceae; Bacillariales; Bacillariaceae. The record is from RNAcentral.